Molecule: ribosomal RNA, 253 nt
Filed under: uncultured bacterium
Lineage: Bacteria
Description: partial 16S ribosomal RNA
Rfam family: Bacterial small subunit ribosomal RNA
Source: RNAcentral
UACAGAGGAUGCAAGCGUUAUCCGGAAUGAUUGGGCGUAAAGCGUCUGUAGGUGGCUUUUUAAGUCCGCCGUCAAAUCCCAGGGCUCAACUCUGGACAGGCGGUGGAAACUACCAAGCUGGAGUACGGUAGGGGCAGAGGGAAUUUCCGGUGGAGCGGUGAAAUGCGUAGAGAUCGGGAAGAACACCAGUGGCGAAGGCGGCCGGCUGGGGGCGCCCUGACGCUGAGGCGCGAGAGCGUGGGGAGCAAACCGG